This 423-nucleotide long non-coding RNA is filed under the name Pogonomyrmex barbatus (red harvester ant). Its description in RNAcentral is "uncharacterized LOC105422412, transcript variant X2". The record is from RNAcentral. Lineage: Eukaryota; Metazoa; Arthropoda; Insecta; Hymenoptera; Formicidae.
CGAACGCGCAUCUCUCUUUCUGGGGUCGCGGCCACGCGGUUAACGUUCGUUUUCGUGAACAUCGAGCGCGCGUUACGACCUAAGUGUUAACACGAAUUGUUGUUUCGUGAACGAUCCUGAGACGCGGACUGUGACUGGCGUGACACGGAUGACCGAUCUCGUCAGCGUGAAUUAGCCUCAUCCUUUCGGUGCCGCAAGCCGGCCAAGUUUCAACGUGGAAAGAUCGUCUCGCCCGAGCAUCUUCCGUUCCUGCCGAGAAUUCCUACACUCCCGGAAGGCUGGAUGCGCGGGGCGAUCUCCAAUAGCGUAUAAAGGAUCGAUACAUUCUGUAUUUGUGGCAAACGUUGGCGAUUUUAGGUAAGUGAUAAAAUUGUUAUACAAUUAUAAUGUAUCUAUAAAUAUAAAGAGAAAGUACGGAAUAUU